This 448-nucleotide ribosomal RNA is filed under the name uncultured organism. Its description in RNAcentral is "partial 16S ribosomal RNA". It matches the Rfam family "Bacterial small subunit ribosomal RNA", at positions 334 to 798 of the family's 1533-position model. The record is from RNAcentral.
CACUCCUGCGGGAGGCAGCAGUGGGGAAUAUUGGACAAUGGGCGCAAGCCUGAUCCAGCCAUGCCGCGUGAGUGAUGAAGGCCCUAGGGUUGUAAAGCUCUUUCACCGGUGAAGAUAAUGACGGUAACCGGAGAAGAAGCCCCGGCUAACUUCGUGCCAGCAGCCGCGGUAAUACGAAGGGGGCUAGCGUUGUUCGGAUUUACUGGGCGUAAAGCGCACGUAGGCGGACUAUUAAGUCAGGGGUGAAAUCCCGGGGCUCAACCCCGGAACUGCCUUUGAUACUGGUAGUCUUGAGUUCGAGAGAGGUGAGUGGAAUUCCGAGUGUAGAGGUGAAAUUCGUAGAUAUUCGGAGGAACACCAGUGGCGAAGGCGGCUCACUGGCUCGAUACUGACGCUGAGGUGCGAAAGCGUGGGGAGCAAACAGGAUUAGAAACCCCAGUAGUCCCAU